GGGCCGUUAGCUCAACCGGUCGAGCACCAGGCUUUUAACCUGAGGGAUCUGGGUUCGAGUCCCAGGCGGCCCA
RNAcentral lists this transfer RNA (73 nucleotides) under Thermoleophilaceae bacterium. RNAcentral's name for it is "tRNA-Lys". It matches the Rfam family "tRNA". Rfam says of the family: Transfer RNA (tRNA) molecules are approximately 80 nucleotides in length. Their secondary structure includes four short double-helical elements and three loops (D, anti-codon, and T loops). Lineage: Bacteria; Bacillati; Actinomycetota; Thermoleophilia; Thermoleophilales; Thermoleophilaceae. The record is from RNAcentral.